Molecule: ribosomal RNA, 131 nt
Filed under: Pteropus alecto (black flying fox)
Lineage: Eukaryota; Metazoa; Chordata; Mammalia; Chiroptera; Pteropodidae
Source: RNAcentral
GUCUACAGCCAUACCACCCUGAACGCGCCCGAUCUAGUGUGGUCUCCCAAGCUAAGCAGGUUCGGGCCUUGCAUGGGAGCAGGUAAGUACUUGCAUGGGAGACCGCCUGGGAAUACCGGGCGCUGUAGGCU